GUGCAGCAGGCGCGAAACCUUCGCAAUGCAGGAAACUGCGACGAGGGAACUCCAAGUGCCUACGCUCAGCGUAGGCUGUUCUCAAGCCUAGAAAGCUUGAGGAGUAAGGGCUGGGUAAGACGGGUGCCAUCUGUGGUAGCAGUCAAUAGAUUCGAUUUGUUACUGCAAGGCAUAAGCCGCCGCGGUAAUACCCGCAGCCCCAAGUGGUGGCCGCUUUUAUUGGGCCUAAAGCGUCCGUAGCCGGCCCGGUAAAUGCCUGGGUAAAUCGUGGAGCCCAACUUCACGAAUUCCGGGUAGACUGCCGAGCUCGGGACCGGAAGAGGGGAGAGGGGUACUUCAGGGGUAGGGGUGAAAAUUUCCUUUCCAUUAACGCUUUUGCGCGAAGCGGAAAGGGUUAUCACAAUCCUGUAAUCCCCUGGAGGACCACCCGUGG
RNAcentral lists this ribosomal RNA (433 nucleotides) under uncultured microorganism. RNAcentral describes it as "bacterial SSU rRNA". It matches the Rfam family "Archaeal small subunit ribosomal RNA", at positions 330 to 666 of the family's 1478-position model. The record is from RNAcentral.